CGUAACACGUAUGCAAUCUGCCCACAGCCGGGGUAUAGCCCUCCGAAAGGAGGAUUAACACCCCAUAGAAAGACGAGAUGGCAUCAUUUGUUUUUAAACCACGGGGCUGUGGAUGAGCAUGCGCUUGAUUAGCUAGUUGGCGGGGUAAUGGCCCACCAAGGCGAUGAUCAAUAGGGGACCUGAGAGGGUGAUCCCCCACACUGGCACUGAGAUACGGGCCAG
This 222-nucleotide ribosomal RNA is filed under the name uncultured bacterium. RNAcentral describes it as "partial 16S ribosomal RNA". It matches the Rfam family "Bacterial small subunit ribosomal RNA", at positions 109 to 334 of the family's 1533-position model. The record is from RNAcentral.